CCUGUAACAGGGGGAUAACCCGGAGAAAUCCGGACUAAAACCCCAUAAUAUGGGCUCUCCGCAUGGAGGGUCCAUUAAAGAGAGCAAUCUUGGUUACAGACGAGCAUGCGCUCCAUUAGCCAGUUGGCGGGGUAACGGCCCACCAAAGCGACGAUGGAUAGGGGUUCUGAGAGGAAGGUCCCCCACAUUGGAACUGAGACACGGUCCAAACUCCUACGGGAGGCAGCAGUGAGGAAUAUUGGUCAAUGGUCGGCAGACUGAACCAGCCAAGUCGCGUGAGGGAAGACGGCCCUACGGGUUGUAAACCUCUUUUGUCGGAGAGUAAAGUGCGCUACGCGUAGCGCAUUGCAAGUAUCCGAAGAAAAAGCAUCGGCUAACUCCGUGCCAGCAGCCGCGGUAAUACGGAGGAUGCAAGCGUUAUCCGGAUUUAUUGGGUUUAAAGGGUGCGUAGGCGGCACGCCAAGUCAGCGGUGAAAUUUCCGGGCUCAACCCGGACUGUGCCGUUGAAACUGGCGAGCUAGAGUGCACAAGAGGCAGGCGGAAUGCGUGGUGUAGCGGUGAAAUGCAUAGAUAUCACGCAGAACCCCGAUUGCGAAGGCAGCCUGCUAGGGUGCGACAGACGCUGAGGCACGAAAGCGUGGGUAUCGAACGGGAUUAGAUACCCUGGUAGUCCACGCAGUAAACGAUGAAUACUAACUGUUUGCGAUACAAUGUAAGCGGUACAGCGAAAGCGUUAAGUAUUCCACCUGGGGAGUAC
Molecule: ribosomal RNA, 757 nt
Filed under: uncultured bacterium
Lineage: Bacteria
Description: bacterial SSU rRNA
Rfam family: Bacterial small subunit ribosomal RNA
Source: RNAcentral